This 74-nucleotide transfer RNA is filed under the name Mesoplodon densirostris (Blainville's beaked whale). RNAcentral describes it as "tRNA-Phe". The record is from RNAcentral. Lineage: Eukaryota; Metazoa; Chordata; Mammalia; Artiodactyla; Ziphiidae.
GUUAAUGUAGCUUAAAUUUUUACUAAAGCAAGACACUGAAAAUGUCUAGAUGGGCAUAUGCCGCCCCAUCAACA